RNAcentral lists this long non-coding RNA (235 nucleotides) under Panax ginseng (ginseng). RNAcentral describes it as "long non-coding RNA (PGIN_LNC016776)". Lineage: Eukaryota; Viridiplantae; Streptophyta; Magnoliopsida; Apiales; Araliaceae. The record is from RNAcentral.
ACUAAAGGGCCACAAUUAUCUUUUUAAUUGUCAUUUCUCCCUCAUAUGUACCUACAGUGCCUUCAUCUUUCUCUAAGGGUCCAAAGUAAUAAUACUCUUGAUGUAGGACGAGUCCGUAAAAGUUGUUUAGAACAAUAUAAAAGGCUUUGGAAGCCUAUAUGAGUUAGAAGUUGUAUUUUAAUUAAUUUCUUUAAUUUGUAGUUAUUGUAUUAAAGUCCAAUUUAGAUUAGAAAAG